Molecule: unclassified non-coding RNA, 377 nt
Filed under: uncultured Intrasporangiaceae bacterium
Lineage: Bacteria; Bacillati; Actinomycetota; Actinomycetes; Micrococcales; Intrasporangiaceae
Description: contains 16S-23S intergenic spacer region
Source: RNAcentral
UCCGAGUUGACCCCGGCAGUCUCCUAUGAGUCCCCACCAUCACGUGCUGGCAACAUAGAACGAGGGUUGCGCUCGUUGCGGGACUUAACCCAACAUCUCACGACACGAGCUGACGACAACCAUGCACCACCUGUACACCGACCUUGCGGGGAACGCAUCUCUGCGCUUUACCGGCGUAUGUCAAGCCUUGGUAAGGUUCUUCGCGUUGCAUCGAAUUAAUCCGCAUGCUCCGCCGCUUGUGCGGGCCCCCGUCAAUUCCUUUGAGUUUUAGCCUUGCGGCCGUACUCCCCAGGCGGGGAACUUAAUGCGUUAGCUGCGGCACGGACCUCGUGGAAUGAGACCCACACCUAGUUCCCAACGUUUACGGCAUGGACUAC